CCUCCUUAAAAUAAAAUCGUUUAUUUGUAGGCGUUCACACGAAUUACUUAUUUAUCUCUAUCUUAAAUUAGAUAAGAGAUGAGUUUUUUAACAUUUUUAUAAGUUCAAUCAAGUCAUAUCAAGAGCAUUUAUGUUCUAGAUAUGCAAAUUAAUUAUUCAUUAAAGGUUUUAUUAUUCUUUUAAUCCGAAACCUUAUUUGAAUAACUGCAAAGUAAUUUGGCGUUUUUUGUGUUUUUUAAAACACAAAUUGUGUUUUUUUAAACACAUAUAGUAGAUAGAAAUUCUUGAAAAUAUCAUUAAGUUAAUUGAUGUAAUAUGGUCAAGUAAUGAAGUGCAAACGGUGG
This 344-nucleotide unclassified non-coding RNA is filed under the name uncultured marine bacterium 311. RNAcentral's name for it is "partial 16S-23S ribosomal RNA intergenic spacer". The record is from RNAcentral.